UCGAGCGGCAGCGGGAGGUGCUUGCAUCUCGCCGGCGAGCGGCGGACGGGUGAGUAAUGCAUAGGAAUCUGCCCGGUAGUGGGGGAUAACCUGGGGAAACCCAGGCUAAUACCGCAUACGUCCUACGGGAGAAAGCAGGGGAUCUUCGGACCUUGCGCUAUCGGAUGAGCCUAUGCCGGAUUAGCUGGUUGGUAGGGUAAUGGCCUACCAAGGCAACGAUCCGUAGCUGGUCUGAGAGGAUGAUCAGCCACACUGGGACUGAGACACGGCCCAGACUCCUACGGGAGGCAGCAGUGGGGAAUAUUGGACAAUGGGCGCAAGCCUGAUCCAGCCAUGCCGCGUGUGUGAAGAAGGCUUUCGGGUUGUAAAGCACUUUCAGUGGGGAAGAAGGCCUGUCGGCUAAUACCCGGCAGGAACGACAUCACCCACAGAAGAAGCACCGGCUAACUCCGUGCCAGCAGCCGCGGUAAUACGGAGGGUGCGAGCGUUAAUCGGAAUUACUGGGCGUAAAGCGCGCGUAGGCGGCGUGAUAAGCCGGUUGUGAAAGCCCCGGGCUCAACCUGGGAACGGCAUCCGGAACUGUCAUGCUAGAGUGCAGGAGAGGAAGGUAGAAUUCCCGGUGUAGCGGUGAAAUGCGUAGAGAUCGGGAGGAAUACCAGUGGCGAAGGCGGCCUUCUGGACUGACACUGAC
RNAcentral lists this ribosomal RNA (691 nucleotides) under Halomonas sp. YIM 94150. RNAcentral's name for it is "bacterial SSU rRNA". It matches the Rfam family "Bacterial small subunit ribosomal RNA", at positions 62 to 744 of the family's 1533-position model. The record is from RNAcentral. Lineage: Bacteria; Pseudomonadati; Pseudomonadota; Gammaproteobacteria; Oceanospirillales; Halomonadaceae.